GCAAACACGGGGCUAGGUAAGAGUACAGGACUAGAUGGGUUCGAGGUGACCACAUGGCGGGAGAACAACUGUCCCAUAAAUCUAGGACUCCAAAAGGCUACGUGAGCAAUAAGAAGAGUCAUGAUGGGCAAGACAACAAGGCUGAAUGCUGGAUGAAGCAGUAUUUCAACUACACAGGAAAGGAAGCGACCUCAACUGCAGGAGCCUUGGUUAGUCCCUGCUGGCCAGCAGAUCCCACCACAGCAGCAAAUUCAGGGCAACUGUCUACAUACAUUGCUCUUGUACUGCUGAAAUAAAACUGCUCUGUCCCCGC
RNAcentral lists this long non-coding RNA (313 nucleotides) under Rattus norvegicus (Norway rat). RNAcentral describes it as "long non-coding RNA NONRATT006384". Lineage: Eukaryota; Metazoa; Chordata; Mammalia; Rodentia; Muridae. The record is from RNAcentral.